UUACGCCCGUAACUACUUCGCCGCCGGCAUAACAAUUUGGCAUGCGGUCCGAGUAUGGCGCUUGUUUAUUCCUAACUGACGAACCUUUUUUGUAAAAAUUUGAUGCCUAGCUCAAAGAUGUUGCCGCCAUCUCCACCAUCAUCACCAACGUCAUAGCAAUGUAUGCGCUUGUCAGGGGCGGGAACCGGGGAUAAACAUUCUCAUCCAGUCCAUCACCGGCAAAAUAACCAUCACGCUUGACAAUACACCUAUAUCAAACUUAUAUCGGAAAUAAUGUUGCCUGGAAGAAGGUCCUUGGCGGUGCUGGAAGAGUCUCGAGGAAAAGAGGAGUUUGAGAUGGCUUGCAUCAGUUCCAAAUAUAUAAAGAUCGAGAAUUCCUCUGCCCAUUUCAAAGUCAAUUUCAAAUAAACAAGUCCACAAGCGAAGAGAAUACAAUAAAAGAAUAACUCUCUAUAUAACUCUCCCUAUCUAUAUCUAUAUAUCUAUAUCUAUAUCUCUAUUCAAAACGAAUAACGCACAAUGAGUAUCACCUACAAUCCCGACAACGAUAUCCCCGACCUUUCAGGGAAAGUGAUAGUUAUCACCGGAGGUACUGCUGGUGUCGGCAAAGAAGCUAUCAAGCAACUGAUCAAGCACAAUCCCGCUCAUAUCUACUUCACUGGCCGCAACGUACAAGCUGCCAACUCUCUCAUUGACGAGAUAAAGGCCACCACCAACAAUGGAAACUGCAUUACCUUCGUCGCCUGCGACCAAACCUCCCUCCAUUCCGUGCGUGAUGCCGCACAAGUCCUCCUGGCCAA
Molecule: small RNA, 800 nt
Filed under: Histoplasma ohiense
Lineage: Eukaryota; Fungi; Ascomycota; Eurotiomycetes; Onygenales; Ajellomycetaceae
Description: hypothetical lncRNA
Source: RNAcentral